This 462-nucleotide ribosomal RNA is filed under the name uncultured Anoxybacillus sp. Its description in RNAcentral is "bacterial SSU rRNA". It matches the Rfam family "Bacterial small subunit ribosomal RNA", at positions 920 to 1382 of the family's 1533-position model. The record is from RNAcentral. Lineage: Bacteria; Bacillati; Bacillota; Bacilli; Caryophanales; Anoxybacillaceae.
CCCGCACAAGCGGUGGAGCAUGUGGUUAAUUCGAAGCAACGCGAAGAACCUUACCAGGUCUUGACAUCCCUGACAACCCGAGAGAUCGGGCGUUCCCCCUUCGGGGGACAGGGUGACAGGUGGUGCAUGGUUGUCGUCAGCUCGUGUCGUGAGAUGUUGGGUUAAGUCCCGCAACGAGCGCAACCCUCGACCUUAGUUGCCAGCAUUCAGUUGGGCACUCUAAGGUGACUGCCGGCUAAAAGUCGGAGGAAGGUGGGGAUGACGUCAAAUCAUCAUGCCCCUUAUGACCUGGGCUACACACGUGCUACAAUGGGCGGUACAAAGGGUCGCGAACCCGCGAGGGGGAGCCAAUCCCAAAAAGCCGCUCUCAGUUCGGAUUGCAGGCUGCAACUCGCCUGCAUGAAGCCGGAAUCGCUAGUAAUCGCGGAUCAGCAUGCCGCGGUGAAUACGUUCCCGGGCCUU